UACAGGGGGUGCAAACGUUGCUCGGAAUCAUUGGGCGUAAAGCGCACGUAGGCGGUUCGUUAUGUCGGAUGUGAAAGCCCUUGGCUUAACCGAGGAAGUGCAUCCGAAACUGGCGAGCUAGAGUACUAAAGAGGAUCGCGGAAUUCCCGGUGUAGAGGUGAAAUGCGUAGAUAUCGGGAGGAACACCAGUGGCGAAGGCGACUUCCUGGCCUGUUCUUGACGCUGAGGCGCGAAAGCUAGGGGAGCAAACGGG
This 253-nucleotide ribosomal RNA is filed under the name uncultured bacterium. RNAcentral describes it as "partial 16S ribosomal RNA". It matches the Rfam family "Bacterial small subunit ribosomal RNA", at positions 524 to 776 of the family's 1533-position model. The record is from RNAcentral.